RNAcentral lists this ribosomal RNA (440 nucleotides) under uncultured bacterium. RNAcentral describes it as "bacterial SSU rRNA". It matches the Rfam family "Bacterial small subunit ribosomal RNA", at positions 338 to 770 of the family's 1533-position model. The record is from RNAcentral.
CCUACGGGUGGCAGCAGUGGGGAAUUUUGCGCAAUGGGCGAAAGCCUGACGCAGCAACGCCGCGUGGAGGAUGAAGGUCUUUGGAUUGUAAACUCCUGUCAGCGGGGAAAAAGCGACUCGACCUAACACGUCGGGAAGUUGAUUGUACCCGCAGAGGAAGCCCCGGCUAACUCUGUGCCAGCAGCCGCGGUAAUACAGAGGGGGCAAGCGUUAUUCGGAAUUAUUGGGCGUAAAGGGCGCGUAGGCGGCUUAGCAAGUGGUAGGUGAAAUCCCUCGGCUCAACUGAGGAACUGCCUUCCAAACUGCUUUGCUUGAGUCCGGGAGAGGUGAGUGGAAUUCCCAGUGUAGCGGUGAAAUGCGUAGAUAUUGGGAGGAACACCAGUGGCGAAGGCGGCUCACUGGACCGGAACUGACGCUGAGGCGCGAAAGCGUGGGGAGCA